AGUGAACGCUGGCGGCGUGCCUAAUACAUGCAAGUCGAACGAUGAAGUCCUAGCUUGCUAGGUUGGAUUAGUGGCGCACGGGUGAGUAAUAUAUAGUUAAUCUGCCCUACACAGAGGAACAACAGUUGGAAACGACUGCUAAUACCUCAUACUCCUAUUUGACAUAAGUUAAAUAGGGAAAGUCUUUUCGGUGUAGGUUGAGACUAUAUCGUAUCAGCUAGUUGGUAAGGUAAUGGCUUACCAAGGCUAUGACGCGUAACUGGUCUGAGAGGAUGAUCAGUCACAUUGGAACUGAGACACGGUCCAAACUCCUACGGGAGGCAGCAGUAAGGAAUAUUGCGCAAUGGGGGAAACCCUGAAGCAGCAACGCCGCGUGGAGGAUGACACUUUGCGGAGCGUAAACUCCUUUUAUCAGGAAAGAAUAAUGACGGUACCUGAUGAAUAAGCACCGGCUAACUCCGUG
RNAcentral lists this ribosomal RNA (463 nucleotides) under uncultured bacterium. RNAcentral describes it as "partial 16S ribosomal RNA". It matches the Rfam family "Bacterial small subunit ribosomal RNA", at positions 29 to 507 of the family's 1533-position model. The record is from RNAcentral.